GUAGGUGGCAAGCGUUGUCCGGAAUUAUUGGGCGUAAAGCGCGCGCAGGCGGUUCUUUAAGUCUGAUGUGAAAGCCCACGGCUCAACCGUGGAGGGUCAUUGGAAACUGGAGAACUUGAGUACAGAAGGGGAAAGCGGAAUUCCACGUGUAGCGGUGAAAUGCGUAGAGAUGUGGAGGAACACCAGUGGCGAAGGCGGCUUUUCUGGUCUGUAACUGACGCUGAGGCGCGAAAGCGUGGGGAGCAAACAGGGAUUAGAUACCCUGGUAGUCCACGCCGUAAACGAUGAGUGCUAAGUGUUAGGGGGGUUUCCGCCCCCUUAGUGCUGCAGCUAACGCAUUAAGCACUCCGCCUGGGGAGUACGGCCGCAAGGCUG
Molecule: ribosomal RNA, 375 nt
Filed under: uncultured organism
Description: partial 16S ribosomal RNA
Rfam family: Bacterial small subunit ribosomal RNA
Source: RNAcentral